AACAUAUGGUUGACACAUGGUACACAUGACCAGCAUUUCUCAAAUGAAUGGAACUUAAGGCUGAAAUGAUCGGAAACUUCAGACAGUUUCUGCCAUUGCGCCAACUCAUUUCUACACGGACAGUUUGGAAAAAUUAUCCCUACAAAGCUUCGAAGCAAACGGUUUGUGUGGCUUUUUUUGUUUUGUAUUGAAUUAUUUUAGUGUUUCACUUAAUUGUUGCAGCCCGAGUUACAAUGCUCUGGUGUACAUUCACAGUCAGAGCCAUGCGGGAACAUUCCGAUCAAAAAAGAAAAAAAAAAAAAAAAGCAGCUCUUGUUUACUCCCACCUCUGUUCUUUGCUGUUACACCACCACUGAGGUUAAAGUCAGACCAUCAAGAACUUUCUAAAGUCUGUGUGUUGUGUUUUUAGAAAGAGCUUGUCCGAGCUUGCUUUUGUUAGAUUCGCAUUAAAACAGUCUCUUUUAGCAUUAUUCUCACAUGUGAAAGUUGGGUGGGUGGGGGGGAGAAAAUGACAACACGAAGGAAUGUUGGCGGGAGCGUUCAGCGCCGUUGAUAAGGGUGCCGCUAGCUCACACUCACCAAAAUGUUUUUGUGUACCUUUUGUGUACAUUUGACUGUUCCAGAAUGACCACAGUGGUGAGGCGUGUUGAUCUUGGCUCCUGUGGUCAUUCCACUGAAGACCCCCCCGCGCAAUCCGGCCCUUCAAAAGCAACAAACCUGGCUGUCCCUCCCUGCCUUUGUGCUGCUUACAUUCUGAUUGAAUUUUCUGUGUGUUUAUUUCAUCAGCUUAACUUGCCGCUUCAUGCCUUCCCUGUGCUUCGGGCCACCCCUUGAACACCACGAUUGGCGUGGACGUGGCAGUGCUCCAGCUUGCACUCGGCAACAAGUCAUGAGAUGGAAAAACGCAAGAUAAAGCCGCACAAAAGCAAAAAGACAAUAUUAUUCAAAACAAAUUGUGAAGAAACUGGCCUCCCAGGGACAACGCUGGAUGUGGAUGUUUACCAUCACGCAAGCACCCAAUUUAAUGUUCUUCUGGGUUAAGAUUAACAGCAAUAAACUUUUGGAAACACA
Hippocampus comes (tiger tail seahorse) is the source of this 1071-nucleotide long non-coding RNA. RefSeq lists it as uncharacterized. The transcript has 2 exons. The record is from RefSeq and is a predicted model, not a curated record. Lineage: Eukaryota; Metazoa; Chordata; Actinopteri; Syngnathiformes; Syngnathidae.